GUCCACGCCGUAAACGAUGGGUGCUAGGUGUGGGAGGUGUCGACUCCUUCCGUGCCGCAGCUAACGCAUUAAGCACCCCGCCUGGGGAGUACGGCCGCAAGGCUAAAAACUCAAAGGAAUUGACGGGGGCCCGCACAAGCAGCGGAGCAUGUGGUUUAAUUCGACGCAACGCGAAGAACCUUACCUGGGCUUGACAUGCACGGGAAUGUCGUAGAAAUACGGCAGCCCUUCGGGGCUCGUGCACAGGUGGUGCAUGGCUGUCGU
Molecule: ribosomal RNA, 264 nt
Filed under: uncultured bacterium
Lineage: Bacteria
Description: partial 16S ribosomal RNA
Rfam family: Bacterial small subunit ribosomal RNA
Source: RNAcentral